UGCCUACGGGGCGCAGCAGUGGGGAAUAUUGGGCAAUGGGCGCAAGCCUGACCCAGCAGCGCCGCGUGAAGGAAGAAGGCUUUCGGGUUGUAAACUUCUUUUCCGGGGGACGAACAAAUGACGGUACCCCAGGAAUAAGCCACGGCUAACUACGUGCCAGCAGCCGCGGUAAUACGUAGGUGGCAAGCGUUAUCCGGAUUUAUUGGGUGUAAAGGGCGUGUAGGCGGGAAUGCAAGUCAGAUGUGAAAACUAUGGGCUCA
RNAcentral lists this ribosomal RNA (260 nucleotides) under uncultured bacterium. RNAcentral's name for it is "partial 16S ribosomal RNA". It matches the Rfam family "Bacterial small subunit ribosomal RNA", at positions 335 to 611 of the family's 1533-position model. The record is from RNAcentral.